RNAcentral lists this long non-coding RNA (959 nucleotides) under Homo sapiens (human). RNAcentral's name for it is "long intergenic non-protein coding RNA 658". Lineage: Eukaryota; Metazoa; Chordata; Mammalia; Primates; Hominidae. The record is from RNAcentral.
ACCGCUCUCCAAGGACUCUCGAGCAGCUCCAUCUACAGAUUCACAUGGAGAAGAAUUAAGGGUUCCUGCCAAUCACCAGCACCACUUUGCCAGCCUUACAGUUGGCAUCUGUGUGAAGAUGUGAAUGGAGGAGGCAGAGUAGGCAGUGAGUGCCGCAGCCACAGCUUGUGUUCUCUGCAGCCCUGGCACAGAAGAUAGGAACACUCAUGGGGGAUGCGGCCACUGUGAUGUCUUCCCACACAAGAAGUGCCAAGUGCUUUUCUCAUGCUUUUCUGGAUUGUCCCAUGGUGGACGAGUCAGCAGGAGUGAGAUGGAGCAGCACAGUAGAGGGGUACCUGGCAAGGCCCGGAGGGAGGACCCCCUGCCCCAAACAUUUCAAUGAUAUCAGGUUCCUUAGAUCCUGGGAUGAGGAGGUGGACCAGCAGAAGGUGGGCUUGUGAAGGCAGCCCGGGGUCCAAAUCCUCCUGGCUCUUCAGCUUAGCGGGGUUGCUUAGACUCAGUGGUGUGCUGGAGCAGGCUCCUACCAGCUAGAAAGAACCAGUUCAAUACGUCUCUUCUCAACUCCAUGUUCAGAGUUGUCAGAGAACCAAUUGUUAAAUAUUUACUGGCACUCCACUGCUUAGAUUUUACCAGUGCUUGCAGUGCUAACCAGGAGCUCAUCCCUGGAGGAGAGGCAGAGAAUGUGUACUCCCAGAUGCAGCCAGCUUCCAGAAGAAGAGGUAGGAGCCAAGCAGAGCAUGCCCACAUCAAUCUUCCAGCAUUUAAUGGCCAUAGAAGUUACUGAACCUCCCUUGGAUGGAUAGAAGAUGGCAUUAUCUUUCUUAAAUAUGAUACCUCUUAUCUUUUUGUUCCCUUGACACUUGAGGAGGGAGGCCAAGGGUUGAUCAUGCAAGCAAGUUUGUGCAUUUUGCACAUUUAUUAAGUUAUGCUUUUGAGGAAAUUAAAAGAUCACAAGGGCU